UGGGAAGCUCCAGGAGCCAGAAGAAUCUCA
RNAcentral lists this non-coding RNA (30 nucleotides) under Mus musculus (house mouse). Lineage: Eukaryota; Metazoa; Chordata; Mammalia; Rodentia; Muridae. The record is from RNAcentral.